This 773-nucleotide ribosomal RNA is filed under the name uncultured bacterium. RNAcentral's name for it is "bacterial SSU rRNA". It matches the Rfam family "Bacterial small subunit ribosomal RNA", at positions 8 to 798 of the family's 1533-position model. The record is from RNAcentral.
AGAGUUUGAUCAUGGCUCAGGACGAACGCUGGCGGCGUGCUUAACACAUGCAAGUCGAACGGAAAGGCCCUUCGGGGUACUCGAGUGGCGAACGGGUGAGUAACACGUGGGUGAUCUGCCCUGCACUCUGGGAUAAGCCUGGGAAACUGGGUCUAAUACCGGAUAGGACCGCAUGCUUCAUGGUGUGUGGUGCAAAGCUUUUGCGGUGUGGGAUGAGCCCGCGGCCUAUCAGCUUGUUGGUGGGGUAAUGGCCUACCAAGGCGACGACGGGUAGCCGGCCUGAGAGGGUGACCGGCCACACUGGGACUGAGAUACGGCCCAGACUCCUACGGGAGGCAGCAGUGGGGAAUAUUGCACAAUGGGCGCAAGCCUGAUGCAGCGACGCCGCGUGAGGGAUGACGGCCUUCGGGUUGUAAACCUCUUUCAGUAGGGACGAAGCGAAAGUGACGGUACCUACAGAAGAAGGACCGGCCAACUACGUGCCAGCAGCCGCGGUAAUACGGAGGGAGCUAGCGUUGUUCGGAAUUACUGGGCGUAAAGCGUACGUAGGCGGUUAUUCAAGUCAGGGGUGAAAGCCUGGAGCUCAACUCCAGAACUGCCCUUGAAACUAGAUAACUAGAAUCUUGGAGAGGUGAGUGGAAUUCCGAGUGUAGAGGUGAAAUUCGUAGAUAUUCGGAAGAACACCAGUGGCGAAGGCGACUCACUGGACAAGUAUUGACGCUGAGGUACGAAAGCGUGGGGAGCAAACAGGAUUAGAUACCCCGGUAGUCCAA